GUGGGGUUCAACUGAGAACCAGCCCUCUGUUCCUUCCAGGAUGCAGGAGUCUGGAUUUUUUUUUAAGAUGUUUUCCUGAGAGAGGGGAGCCCAGUUGCUGGUGUCUGAGGGAACCUCAGAUAAAAGCCUCCACCAGUGUCCUGGAACAUUCUGAACGCUUGGCUUCUGCAGGCCUUGGGUCACUGACGACUCAUUUGACAUUGAUCGCGCGCACACUGCUGUGAUCCACCCUACUAUGGUGUGAACAGCCAGGCAACUUCUAGACUUGAGAAGAUCUUGUCCCCAUCUGUAAAUUUUUCAACUCACACAGGCCAUCUGUAACCUUUCCUCCAAGAUAACAUCUCCUCGAAAGAAAGAAAGAAAGAAAGAAAGAAAGAAAGAAAGAAAGAAAGAAAGAAAACCACCAAAAAUCAGCCUCUUCCCUCCUUGUUAAGACGGCAGCAUGAUGUGAAAGUUCCUGAGGACUUCAGUUACCUGGC
Meriones unguiculatus (Mongolian gerbil) is the source of this 479-nucleotide long non-coding RNA. RefSeq lists it as uncharacterized. The transcript has 3 exons. The record is from RefSeq and is a predicted model, not a curated record. Lineage: Eukaryota; Metazoa; Chordata; Mammalia; Rodentia; Muridae.